UGGGGAAUUUUGGACGAUGGGGGAAACCCUGAUCCAGCCAUCCCGCGUGUGCGAUGAAGGCCUUCGGGUUGUAAAGCACUUUUGGCAGGAAAGAAACGUCGCGGGUUAAUACCCCGCGAAACUGACGGUACCUGCAGAAUAAGCACCGGCUAACUACGUGCCAGCAGCCGCGGUAAUACGUAGGGUGCAAGCGUUAAUCGGAAUUACUGGGCGUAAAGCGUGCGCAGGCGGUUCGGAAAGAAAGAUGUGAAAUCCCAGAGCUUAACUUUGGAACUGCAUUUUUAACUACCGGGCUAGAGUGUGUCAGAGGGAGGUGGAAUUCCGCGUGUAGCAGUGAAAUGCGUAGAUAUGCGGAGGAACACCGAUGGCGAAGGCAGCCUCCUGGGAUAACACUGACGCUCAUGCACGAAAGCGUGGGGAGCAAACAGGAUUAGAUACCCUGGUAGUCCACGCCCUAAACGAUGUCAACUAGCUGUUGGGGCCUUCGGGCCUUGGUAGCGCAGCUAACGCGUGAAGUUGACCGCCUGGGGAGUACGGUCGCAAGAUUAAAACUCAAAGGAAUUGACGGGGUCGAUAGC
RNAcentral lists this ribosomal RNA (578 nucleotides) under uncultured bacterium. Its description in RNAcentral is "partial 16S ribosomal RNA". It matches the Rfam family "Bacterial small subunit ribosomal RNA", at positions 355 to 926 of the family's 1533-position model. The record is from RNAcentral.